UACAGAGGGUGCAAGCGUUUGUUCGGAAUUAUUGGGCGUAAAGGGCGCGUAGGCGGCGCGACAAGUCACCUGUGAAAUCUCCGAGCUUAACUCGGAGCCUGCAGGCGAAACUGUCGUGCUGGAGUAUGGGAGAGGUGCGUGGAAUUCCCGGUGUAGCGGUGAAAUGCGCAGAUAUCAGGAGGAACACCGGUGGCGAAGGCGGGUCUCUGGGGCCGAUACUGACGCUGAGGAGCGAAAGCGUGGGGGAGCGAAACAGG
This 257-nucleotide ribosomal RNA is filed under the name uncultured bacterium. Its description in RNAcentral is "partial 16S ribosomal RNA". It matches the Rfam family "Bacterial small subunit ribosomal RNA", at positions 524 to 776 of the family's 1533-position model. The record is from RNAcentral.